GAAGAACUGCCCCCUCAUCUGCAGGAAGAGCCUCCUGAAGUUGGGUAGCAUCAUUUAAAAAAAGAACAACAAAAACCCUGCAACAGCUUUGAUAAUCUGCAGUAAAGAACAGGAUCUAUAGCUUUAUUCAAAGAUUGGAGACAGGAUAAAAAAGUAUAAAACAUUUUACAGGACUGGAGAUAAGCAGGUUCUCAGCUAGAGGAGAUUCUGCUGCCUCUUCCCCUCCAC
Non-coding RNA from Struthio camelus australis, 228 nucleotides. The record is from RefSeq and is a predicted model, not a curated record. NCBI's taxonomy places the organism in Eukaryota, Metazoa, Chordata, Aves, Struthioniformes, Struthionidae.